CGGCAUUCCUGCGACCCGGUCGCAGCAAACAAAAGGUGCCCAAAACGUUUGGUGCGACCCAUGACGUCACGUCCGCUAUAACCAAUGAUGUCACGUCCGUUUAUUUUCAUGGCGGCUGUUUUUCGGGGCCGGUCGCGUUGUGAAGCGGUCCGUAUUCCGUGCCUUCUUACAGAACUGAACAUCCCACGUCUUGGUUUGACUUCCUGGUACAGGAUACUUGCAGUUGGCAUGGAGUGGUGAAGCAGCAUGGUGUACUUUUAUUAAAAGCACAGAUUUCACCAGUAUAGAAGCAGUUCAUCAAAAAAAAACAUGUGUGCUGAAAAUAAAGUGUUCCUACCCACA
Molecule: long non-coding RNA, 342 nt
Organism: Dermacentor silvarum
Lineage: Eukaryota; Metazoa; Arthropoda; Arachnida; Ixodida; Ixodidae
Exons: 2
Source: RefSeq, a predicted model, not a curated record